Molecule: ribosomal RNA, 1326 nt
Filed under: uncultured prokaryote
Description: partial 16S ribosomal RNA
Rfam family: Bacterial small subunit ribosomal RNA
Source: RNAcentral
GGCAUGCAAGUCGAACGAGGACGCUGCUUCGGCAGUUAUUAGAGUGGCGAACGGGUGAGUAACGCGUGGGAACCUGCCUUAUGGUACGGAAUAACGGCUGGAAACGGCUGCUAAUACCGCAUACGCCCUACGGGGGAAAGAUUUAUUGCUCUAUGAUGAGCCCGCGUAAGAUUAGGUAGUUGGUGAGGUAACGGCUCACCAAGUCAACGAUCUUUAGCUGGUUUGAGAGGAUGAUCAGCAACACUGGAACUGAGACACGGUCCAGACUCCUACGGGAGGCAGCAGUGGGGAAUCUUAGACAAUGGGGGAAACCCUGAUCUAGCCAUGCCGCGUGAGUGAAGAAGGCCUUAGGGUCGUAAAACUCUUUCGCUAGGGAAGAUAAUGACGGUACCUAGUAAAGAAACCCCGGCUAACUCCGUGCCAGCAGCCGCGGUAAUACGGAGGGGACUAGCGUUGUUUGGAAUUACUGGGCGUAAAGAGUACGUAGGCGGCUUAUCAAGUUGGGUGUGUGUGAAAGCCCGGGGCUCAACCACGGAACUGCACUCAAAACUGGUAAGCUAGAGAUCGGAAGAGGUAAGUGGAAUUCCCAGUGUAGAGGUGAAAUUCGUAGAUAUUGGGAAGAACACCAGUGGCGAAGGCGGCUUACUGGUCCGAGACUGACGCUGAGGUGCGAAAGGCGUGGGGAGCGAACAGGAUUAGAUACCCUGGUAGUCCCACGCCGUAAAACGAUGGAUGCUAGGUGUCGGGGCCUUUUGAACUUCAGUGCCGUAGCUAACGCGUUAAGCACCCCGCCUGGGGAGUACGGUCGCAAGAUUAAAACUCAAAGGAAUUGACGGGGGCCCGCACAAGCGGUGGAGCAUGUGGUUUAAUUCGACGCAACGCGCAGAACCUUACCAGCCCUUGACAUACCAAUCGCGGUUUCUAGAGAUAGAUUCCUUCAGUUCGGCUGGAUUGGAUACAGGUGCUGCAUGGCUGUCGUCAGCUCGUGUCGUGAGAUGUUGGGUUAAGUCCCGCAACGAGCGCAACCCUCGCCUUUAGUUGCCAGCAAUUCGGUUGGGCACUCUAAAGGAACUGCCGGUGAUAAGCCGGAGGAAGGUGGGGAUGACGUCAAGUCCUCAUGGCCCUUAUGGGCUGGGCUACACACGUGCUACAAUGGCGGAUACAGUGAGUUGCUACCUGGUGACAGGGAGCUAAUCUCCAAAAUCCGUCUCAGUUCGGAUUGUUCUCUGCAACUCGAGAGCAUGAAGUUGGAAUCGCUAGUAAUCGUGGAUCAGCAUGCCACGGUGAAUACGUUCCCGGGCCUUGUACACACCGCCCGUCACACCA